CGCAUGACAACAGGACAAAUAUUGUCCUCCUGCCAACACGGCGUGCGACAAGCUUCAAAAGGGACAAGUAACUCGGGCAACGAGGGGUGAUAAACCCCGACCGAUCGUCUUUCCGCAUGCAAGACUCCGAGCGACACAGGGGCAUCCGUUGCCCGCUAGCUAAAACAGCAUAGCGAGGACGGGAGUCCAAGUGAGCUUCGAUUUCUACGUGCACCAAACACUUGGCACAAGAUAGAGAAGGGACGGUUGCGCUAGCGAAUACCUUCAAGUAAGGUAUGCAUCACAGGGGGCCAUACCGACCGAGGCAAAUGACUGAGCACUCGGACUAAACUGAAAAGGUGCGAACCAUCGAUUGUCGCUGCCGAGGCAGGGAACCAACCAAACGGAACAUACC
Molecule: unclassified non-coding RNA, 394 nt
Filed under: Aegokeras caespitosa
Lineage: Eukaryota; Viridiplantae; Streptophyta; Magnoliopsida; Apiales; Apiaceae
Description: partial external transcribed spacer
Source: RNAcentral